GCAUAUCAAUAAGCGGAGGAAAAGAAACUAACAAGGAUUCCCCUAGUAACUGCGAGUGAAGCGGGAAAAGCUCAAAUUUAAAAUCUGGCGGUCCUUGUGGCCGUCCGAGUUGUAAUCUGGAGAAGUGCUUUCCGCGCUGGACMGUGUACAAGUCUCUUGGAACAGAGCGUCGUAGAGGGUGAGAAUCCCGUCUUUGACACGGACUACCAGUGCUUUGUGAUGCGCUCUCAAAGAGUCGAGUUGUUUGGGAAUGCAGCUCAAAAUGGGUGGUAAAUUCCAUCUAAAGCUAAAUAUUGGCGAGAGACCGAUAGCGAACAAGUACCGUGAGGGAAAGAUGAAAAGAACUUUGGAAAGAGAGUUAAACAGUACGUGAAAUUGCUGAAAGGGAAACGCUUGAAGUCAGUCGCGUUGGCCGGGACUCAGCCUUGCUUCCGCUUGGUUUAUUUUCUGGUCGACGGGUCAGCAUCAGUUUUGAUCGUCGGACAAUGGCUGGGGGAAUGUGGCAUCUUCGGAUGUGUUAUAGCCCUUGGUCGCAUACGAUGGUUGGGACUGAGGAUCUCAGCACACCUUUAUGGUCGGGGUUCGCCCACGUUUGUGCUUAGGAUGCUGGCAUAAUGGCUUUAAACGACCCGUCUUGAAACACGGACCAAGGAGUCUAACAUGCAUGCGAGUGUUUGGGUGGAAAACCCGAGCGCGUAAUGAAAGUGAAAGUUGAGACCUCUGUCGUGGAGGGCAUCGACGCCCGGACCAGACCUUCUGUGACGGCCCUGCGGUAGAGCAUGUAUGUUGGGACCCGCAAGAUGGUGAACUAUGCCUGAAUAGGGUGAAGCCAGAGGAAACUCUGGUGGAGGCUCGUAGCGAUUCUGACGUGCAAAUCGAUCGUCAAAUUUGGGUAUAGGGGCGAAAGACUAAUCGAACCAUCUAGUAGCUGGUCUGCGAGU
This 941-nucleotide ribosomal RNA is filed under the name Spongiporus floriformis. RNAcentral describes it as "LSU rRNA". It matches the Rfam family "Eukaryotic large subunit ribosomal RNA", at positions 38 to 967 of the family's 3401-position model. The record is from RNAcentral. Lineage: Eukaryota; Fungi; Basidiomycota; Agaricomycetes; Polyporales; Postiaceae.